UACGGAAGGCAGCAGUGGGGAAUAUUGCACAAUGGGCGAAAGCCUGAUGCAGCUAUGCCGCGUGUAUGAAGAAGGCCUUAGGGUUGUAAAGUACUUUCAUCGGGGAGGAAAAACAAAACUAAUAAUUUUAUUUCUUGACGUUACCCGAAAAAGAAGCACCGGCUAACUCCGUGCCAGCAGCCGCGGUAAUACGGAGGGUGCUAGCGUUAAUCAGAAUUACUGGGCGUAAAGAGCACGUAGGUGGUUUUUUUAAGUCAGAUGUGAAAUCCCUGGGCUUAACCUGGAACUGCAUUUUGAAACUGAAAUACUAGAGUAUCGUAGAGGGAGGUAGAAUUCUAGGUGUAGCGAUGAAAUGCGUAGAUAUCUGGAGGAAUACCUGUGGCGAAAGCGGCCUCCUAAACGAAUACUGACACUGAGGUGCGAAAGCGUGGGGAGCAAACAGGGAUUAGAUACC
This 454-nucleotide ribosomal RNA is filed under the name uncultured bacterium. RNAcentral describes it as "bacterial SSU rRNA". It matches the Rfam family "Bacterial small subunit ribosomal RNA", at positions 340 to 786 of the family's 1533-position model. The record is from RNAcentral.